AAGUUUCAACAACGGAUCUCUUGGCUCUCGCAUCGAUGAAGAACGCAGCGAAAUGCGAUAAGUAAUGUGAAUUGCAGAAUUCAGUGAAUCAUCGAAUCUUUGAACGCACCUUGCGCUCCUUGGUAUUCCUUGAAGCAUGCCUGUUUGAGUAUCA
Molecule: ribosomal RNA, 154 nt
Filed under: Rhizoctonia sp. Onv6
Lineage: Eukaryota; Fungi; Basidiomycota; Agaricomycetes; Cantharellales; Ceratobasidiaceae
Description: 5.8S ribosomal RNA
Rfam family: 5.8S ribosomal RNA
About the family: 5.8S ribosomal RNA (5.8S rRNA) is a component of the large subunit of the eukaryotic ribosome.
Source: RNAcentral